CCGCCGCCCGGCGCAGGGGCCGGGAGCAAGUGCACGCCGCGCGGAGGACGAAGAGGCUGCACGCACAGCCGCUGCCGGGGGUCGGGGCCAAGUGCGCGCCUCGCCGAGGACGAAGAGGCUGGCGUGCCCGGUGGCUCGGCUAGCUCCCGGGUCCCGGCCCCGCCUGGAGGAUGCGGCUGUGGGGGAAUGGGAGCGGCCGGACCUCCCAGCCUGACAGUGCAUCAAGAGCUUUGCGGAGCCUACAGCCCGGAUGGGACGACUGAGGCCCUCCCGCUGGCGAGCUGGCCGAGGGCUCGUCCCUCUCCAGCUAAAGCGCCAGCUUACGAUACAGCCAAACUGCCGGCUCUCAUCGGCUGUGGGAGCAGGAGGCCCCCAGGGGUAAAUCCCGGAGCCUCGUCUCUGAAGCCUGGCGCUUGUGUCUCAGAAGGCUGGAGUGCAAUAGCACCAUCUCGGCUCACUGCAACCUCUGCCUCCCAGGUUCAAGUGAUUCUCCUGCCUUAGCCUCCUGAGUAGCUAGGAUUACAGAUUUAUAGGAGCAUUGUGACUGGACCAAGGACAAAGAAGUUCCCAACCUCCUCAGACCCUCGCUGCUGCCCAGAUGUCUGCCAUGGGGUGGCCAUCAUCGAAUCCACUGAGGGCGCAAAUAGAACAAAAAGGUGAAGAAAAGGUGAAUUCUCUCCUUUCUUGAGCUGGGACAUCCAACUUCUCAGACAUCAGAGCUCCUGGAGGCCUUCAGACUCCGAGACAUUACACCAUUGGCUCACCUGGUCCUCAGGUCUUUGGACUUGGAAUGAAUUACACCAUUGGCUUUCCAGGUCUUCCAGCUUGCAGAUGGCAGAUUGUGGGACUUUUCAGCCUCCAUAACUUUGUCAUCCAAUUCCCAUAAUAAAUCGCCUCUUAUAUCUGU
Molecule: long non-coding RNA, 907 nt
Filed under: Homo sapiens (human)
Lineage: Eukaryota; Metazoa; Chordata; Mammalia; Primates; Hominidae
Description: HSALNT0363344
Source: RNAcentral